CCUUGAACAAUAUACUAUGUAUUUUCCUCAGGGAAGAGUUGUACUUCUAACUCUGUUCGACUCAGUUAACGUUCAUUUUUAUCAGAUGAUGAUUGGUCCUGCCCUCCAUUACUUCCUGUACCUACAUUCUCAGUAUAUACCAUAGUUAUUUGACCAGUGUCAGCAUGGCAGUACAACACACUAAAAUUAGACCUGAUAUUUAUUACCAUAGAGAAUGUGUUUCAACAAUCAUGUAACUUUGACUUGGUGCAUCUGCAAUGUAUUUGAUUGUUGCUGGCCAGAGAUGUUAAAAUUACACAGAAACAUUCAUCAAAUCUGUGAAUGACAAUCCAGCAGAACAUUUGAAAUUGGCAGUGCGUGGACGUAAAUACCAAAUGCUCAGGGAGAACAUUUUACUAAAAGUACUGGGGGCAGACCAUUUCUGUAACGUAGCAUCAUAACAUUUCCAACAUGUCGUUGGUGUUUGGUUUGGGUUUAAAAAAACAAAAAUUUUAAGAAGUACUUCUCUGGUCAGUGUGUAAGAGUCAUCAUUUUCACAUUAUAUAUUCAUGUGAAAUCCAACAUCUCGUCACAUCUCAGAAAUGUCUAAAACAACAGUUCAAAAACGGUUCAGUGCACUCGCAAUCUGCUACCAACAGGGUCCAACAUCAUAGAAAAACAAGCAAUGAGCUAUAACGUCACCCCUUUUAGUGUAACCUUCACACAUAUUGUAUGAAUCUAUGUGCCAAAUACCUCUUGUACAAUUAGCUCCACUAGCAGACUCUGCCCAUGAGCCAGGAGUGCGUAGUGUGUUACUAAUACGGGUUUUGACAGGGUAGCCACUGCUGUGGAGUUCCCUCUGAACAAGCUUUGAUACGCAGAAGACUGUUGUAAUUCUGUUCUUUUCAGUCUACUUGAUCCAUAUCGUGGUGUCCUAGUUAAUGCGAAUUACAACGAUACCCGUUUGCACCGUAAAAACAACUGUACUGAUGUUUUUGGGUUUUUUUUUGUCAGUGUAGUUUGUUUUAGGUAUUAAAAGCAAUACAGGCUAUAAAGUAGAAACUUUGGACAGUUUAUUUUUUCAAUCAAAAGUACUGAACCAUCUCUGGAUUUGUGGUAGUGACAUGUCGAUGUACAGAUAAAUACUCUCACUUGUGAAAGAUCCACUUGCGCAUCAAAAGUUCCCAUAUGGUGUGUUGUAUUUUGUGUGUGAAACAGUGUCUUGAGAUCUUUCUACCCUCUUUGUUAAUUUCGUAAGAAGCAAUAUGUGUGUGUGUGUGUGUGUGUGUGUGUGUGUGUGUGUGUGUGUGUGUGUGAGAGAAAGAGAGAGAGAGAGAGAGAGAGAAACCCCAGACAAGGCUUUAAUAAAGUACAUAAGGAGCAGCAGGGUCAGCUGGUGAAGUAAAUGGUAUAUGGAUAUCUUAGUUUUCCCAGGUUUCACACACUUUUAGUAGCAAUUUUGAACUCAUCCAUCAGGCUGGACAAGCAUGACACAGUGCACGCCACUAUCUUAUUCAAAUCCUUCACACCUACAUUAUGCAAAUCUGCCACUGACAGGCCUAUGCAGUCACAAAUACCGCAGGACGAGUUUACACUGUACCAUCGUAAUAACUCCGUCAUUCAUUCUUAGUGAGGGCACUUAGACUGCCAGAAGCCAUUUUAAUAAUAUUCUUAAUAACAUGUUCUAAUACGUGGAAUUAAUGUGUGAUGUCAUGCUUGUGACGCCAUUUUGAUUUGAAGGUGAAAGUGUUAUUUAGAGGUAUCGAUUAUCAAUCAUUUUCAUUGCAUUUUUUUAAUGUGACCUUUUAUCCUGAAAGCACAGCUAAUAAAGUGAGAUAUGUUUUAGAAUAUAGAGCAAAAGACAAAAAAAGACAAACAAACAAAAAAAAUCUUUAGCCAUAAUCGAAUGUCAAGCAAUAAUAUAUGGUAUAUUAUUAUUAUUAUUAUUAUUAUUAUUAUUAUUAUUCAUCUUUGUGCAUAGGCUUUGGACACCUGCAUGUAAAUACACCUCUUAUUUAUCAUGUUUUGUUUCUUUCUUUCUUUUUUUUCUCAAUCUCUCUCUCUCCCUGAUUAUUUUGUUUUGUUUUGUUUUGUUUUGUUUGUAUAUUUGACUAGUUCUGUUCCCAGGUGGAGAACUAAGAACUUCAUAUGGCCUGUAAACUGUACAGCUUGAUUUCCCUCUCUUUCUCUCUCCCCCUCAGCUUUCCGCUUUUAAUUCACUAUAUUUAAUGUUAUUAUUGAUCACAUGUAUAAAAGUAACUUUGUAACAUCUGUCUGUAUAGGUAAAAAAAAAAAAAAAAACGAAAAAGAAAAUACUGCUAUUAAGACCUACUCAGUGCAAAUAUUUAUCUGUUUAUUGGAUACAUCAUGCUGUACAGUAUCUCUGUUUUUAGUAUACUUCUCUCUUUUAGAGUUAGUUUGAUAGCGAUAGGGCGUGCUGACAUAAAAUUUUGUGUUAAACUGACGUGUGGUGCUAGGUAACUUACUUUCGUGAACAAAAAAAAAAAAAAACCAAACAAACUCUUGACUCAUAGACAAGGCCACUCGAUUAGUUCAUUCAUUUCACUAAGUAUUGAUGCAUUCUUGAUAUUAGGACUCGAUAAGGAUAAGGAUAAAGAAUAAUGAUAGUGGUAAAUUUACUUGAAAUCCCCAGCAAGUACCUGUAUCAGUGUGCUAGUCUCGGGAUUGCACUCUUGUUUCCUUCUCACUUUAAGACUAUAAGUAAAAGCGGUAUCAUCUAAUUAAGAUGCUAUUAUUAAACGUCGCGUUUCUGAUUCGUCACGAUUUUAAAAGAAAAUGUUUAAGCUAAAGAAAAGCAGUAUUGUGUUGAUCCUUUUGAUUGUGAGAACCACUGGCUAGACUUGUAGCUGUUCAAUUUCGCAAAUGCAAUGCCUACUGGUACUUUUCUCAGAAAUCCUACGCUGGAAAAAGUCUUUUCGAUAAACGAUACACAGACACGAGAGAGCACAUACUGGAUGAUAGAAUUAUUGGCAGCCUCAUUUUGGUUCUCUUUGUUUUUUGACUUAGCCUAGACAACAGCUUCAUUCAGCAUAUUUAUUUUUCUGCACUAAUGUGUACGACAGCACUGUCAAUAAUUACCAACUUAGUGCACGCGCACACACACACACACACACACACACACACACACACACACACAUAUAUAUACACACUGUGGGUUAAGUGUUAAACAUGUAAGAGGUUGAAAUUGUCAGUUGUAGGUUCAUAUUUGCUCGAGUAUUUCAUUUUCAAUUUCUGUAGCAAGUAUGACGGCGAUCCUUGCAAUAAUACACAACAAACACCACUGAGUGCCUCUCAGUGGUCCAGGAUGCAGAAAUGACGUAGUUUUCACUGUUCACUGUAGUCAAAUGGUCAUGUAUUUGCACAUGUAGGUGAAUUCUAUCCAAAUUCUUAAUGUCUUGUUUUUUUUUUUCUGUAACUGUCCUGUACUUUUGUUUUAUGACCAUGUGAACGUUUUCCACCGCUUGUAGUUUUCUGUGUGUUUCAUUUCGCAAACUUGCAGUGCACGGUCAAUGUUGCUUUUCUCCUUUACUUUUCUGCUGACAUUAAUAUAACCUUGUGGAAUAAUGGUAAAACAUGCAUUCUGAAUGUUUUAUUUUUAAGACCCUGGUUUGCGCAUUUGUAAAGGACAAUAGACAAUCCACUCUGCGUUCCCCCUAUUUACAAAACUUCCCAUUUCUGUUCGUUCUCGCAGACAAAUGACUAAUGCAUUGUAUUUUAAGUAUUCACAUGUGUAUGGAAGAUAUGCAUAAUGCACAUUUGGAUUUCUUUCCUGUCGUGUGUUAAAUGUGAGCUCGCAGGGGGAAUGGGUUUUACUCCACACACAGGCAGCAUAUACACGGGGAGGGAAAAAUGCCAAGACAAGUUUGUGGUUGUCACAAAUUUUUACAUCACACGUUUGCUACUGAUCUAACCGUGGGGAGAGAUGAUCAUGUACCUUUUUAUCCAGCUCUUUUGAACUCUAUUUAGGAGGUAGUAUCUUCACAAUAAUAGUUUUGCUCCUUCUCUUCGUCUGAUUCUUAAAUAUGAAAAUUAAGUAUUUUGAUUCAUUUUGUAAAUACAGCUGUAAAGAAAAAUAAGAAAUUUAAUGUUGUCUUUUAAAUACUUUUCAUUCUAAUAUGAAUGUUGUUAUAUUGUACUUAGAAACUGUACCUUUAAUAUUACCUUUAUUAAAGUGCAUUGGACACAUCGAUUUUAGAUGUGCUUUAUGUGCUGUUAUCCCAUAAUAAAAUUUACCGCUUGUAAUUGGCUCUUAUUUACUGUCUGACUUUUUUCAAGGGAUACAUUUUCUCUCCAUGUCCAUGUGGGUUAAGUGUAAAUGAAAGUGUGUGUACAUGGUUCUCUGUGAUGGACUGAGUGUAUUCCCAUCUAACACACAGUAUUCUUAGCAGAGGUGGAAAAAGU
This is a long non-coding RNA of Ictalurus punctatus (channel catfish), 4401 nucleotides long. The record is from Ensembl. NCBI's taxonomy places the organism in Eukaryota, Metazoa, Chordata, Actinopteri, Siluriformes, Ictaluridae.